GAUGAACGCUGGCGGCGUGCUUAACACAUGCAAGUCGAACGGACGGACGCGAAUCUUGCUGCUCUCAUGUGAGCGGCGGACGGGUGAGUAACACGUGGAUAACCUACCUAUAAGACUGAGAACACUACGGGAAAGCGGAUAUAACACCGGAUGAUCUUUUGAACCGCAGGGUUCAAAAGAGAAUGACGGUCUUGCUGGCACUAAUAGAUGUAUCCGCGCUGGUUUAGCUAGUUGGUAAGGUAACGGCUUACCAAGGCAAGGAUGCAUAGCCGACCUGCGAGGGUGAUAGGCCACACUGGAACUGGGACACGGCCCAGACUCCUACGGGAGGCAGCAGUAGGGAAUGUUCCGCAAUGGGCGAAAGCCUGACGGAGCAACCCCGCGUGAGUGAUGAAGGCCUUCGGAUCGUAAAGCUCUGUUAUUAGGGAAGAACAGAUGUGGAAUUAACUGUGGAGAGAUUGACGGUACCUGAUCAGAAAGCACCGGCUAACUACGUG
Molecule: ribosomal RNA, 497 nt
Filed under: uncultured bacterium
Lineage: Bacteria
Description: partial 16S ribosomal RNA
Rfam family: Bacterial small subunit ribosomal RNA
Source: RNAcentral